RNAcentral lists this ribosomal RNA (475 nucleotides) under Salmonella enterica subsp. enterica serovar Agama. Its description in RNAcentral is "partial 23S ribosomal RNA". It matches the Rfam family "Bacterial large subunit ribosomal RNA", at positions 137 to 650 of the family's 2925-position model. Lineage: Bacteria; Pseudomonadati; Pseudomonadota; Gammaproteobacteria; Enterobacterales; Enterobacteriaceae. The record is from RNAcentral.
GAUUCGUCACACUAUCAUUAACUGAAUCCAUAGGUUAAUGAGGCGAACCGGGGGAACUGAAACAUCUAAGUACCCCGAGGAAAAGAAAUCAACCGAGAUUCCCCCAGUAGCGGCGAGCGAACGGGGAGGAGCCCAGAGCCUGAAUCAGCAUGUGUGUUAGUGGAAGCGUCUGGAAAGGCGCGCGAUACAGGGUGACAGCCCCGUACACAAAAGCGCAUGUGCUGUGAGCUCGAUGAGUAGGGCGGGACACGUGGUAUCCUGUCUGAAUAUGGGGGGACCAUCCUCCAAGGCUAAAUACUCCUGACUGACCGAUAGUGAACCAGUACCGUGAGGGAAAGGCGAAAAGAACCCCGGCGAGGGGAGUGAAAAAGAACCUGAAACCGUGUACGUACAAGCAGUGGGAGCACCCUUUGGGGUGUGACUGCGUACCUUUUGUAUAAUGGGUCAGCGACUUAUAUUCUGUAGCAAGGUUAAC